RNAcentral lists this ribosomal RNA (305 nucleotides) under uncultured bacterium. RNAcentral's name for it is "partial 16S ribosomal RNA". It matches the Rfam family "Bacterial small subunit ribosomal RNA", at positions 505 to 807 of the family's 1533-position model. The record is from RNAcentral.
ACAUCAGUAGCCGCGGGAAUACCGAGGGUGCGAGCGUUAAUCGGAUUUACUGGGCGUAAAGCGUGCGUAGGCGGCUUUUUAAGUCGGAUGUGAAAUCCCUGAGCUUAACUUAGGAAUUGCAUUCGAUACUGGGAAGCUAGAGUAUGGGAGAGGAUGGUAGAAUUCCAGGUGUAGCGGUGAAAUGCGUAGAGAUCUGGAGGAAUACCGAUGGCGAAGGCAGCCAUCUGGCCUAAUACUGACGCUGAGGUACGAAAGCAUGGGGAGCAAACAGGAUUAGAUACCCCGGUAGUCCCUGUCUCUUAUAC